Molecule: transfer RNA, 70 nt
Filed under: Bolitobius castaneus
Lineage: Eukaryota; Metazoa; Arthropoda; Insecta; Coleoptera; Staphylinidae
Description: tRNA-Lys
Source: RNAcentral
CAUUAGAUGACUGAAAGUAAGUUUUGGUCUCUUAAACCACUAUAUAGUAUAUUAACAAAUACUUCUAAUG